GCCGCUAUGGAGAAAUUGGUAGACUCGAGAGAUUCAAAAUCUCUUGCUCUUUGAGCGUGUCGGUUCGAGUCCGACUAGCGGUACCA
Molecule: transfer RNA, 86 nt
Filed under: Arcobacter arenosus
Lineage: Bacteria; Pseudomonadati; Campylobacterota; Epsilonproteobacteria; Campylobacterales; Arcobacteraceae
Also listed under: 1 other name
Description: Arcobacter sp. CAU 1517 tRNA-Leu
Rfam family: tRNA
About the family: Transfer RNA (tRNA) molecules are approximately 80 nucleotides in length. Their secondary structure includes four short double-helical elements and three loops (D, anti-codon, and T loops).
Source: RNAcentral